AUAUAGUUUAUAUUCCUGGGAUUCUAAAUCAGACCUUGAAUAUUUUUGAUAUAAUUGUUUAUAAUUAUCUAGAACUAGUACCUUUGUAGACUUUCAUCCUACUCAGUUUUAAGAACUCUACGGGCCCUACUCUGUACUGCGUUUUGAGAACAAAUAUUUUCUAGUACUUACGAAAUGACAAAUCCGCAUUCGGAAUGUUAUCAGCGUUCGAAAACGGUAAUUAUGUUUUUAUACCAAGAGAUAACGGAUUGCAAUUCGAAGGUCGUUUUUAAAGCACUCAAAAGAAAGUUGUGUUAAUUUGUGUGCAAUAAAUAAAAUGGAAUCAUCAGCGAAAAAUGUGCAUACAGAGCCAAAGAAAUUUAAAAUUAUAGUGGAAUUCAUGUGUGCUCAUCCCGUCUUACGAGUACGAAUUCAUAAAUGAAUCGAAUAUAUGAUUCGAAGAUUCAUAUAAUUAUAUCUAUCUUUCAACACAAAGUAUCCAGCAUACUGAUAUCCAUUAUCUUGAAAUGGAAGUACAGGAUUAUAUAUUUUGCGGUUUCAAAAGUAAACUUAAAUAAAACAUAUAAAAUAUUUUUUUUCAUGAUAUUUCCUUUUUAUUAUAAAAUUUUAACGUUGACAUUAUGUGUAAAACACUACAUCAUUUAAAUGACAACCACGAGAAUUGUUGGAAGCAUCAAUCGUUUGAGUGCUCACACUGCGCCUCUUCAUAAUAAGGGUAGUAAUAUCCCCUUGAAUGUGUGCUUAUUAUACAAACAAAAUAGGACAAACACAACACAAAGGAUCCACCGGCGGCGCGGCGGCGGGCGCGCGUGGCCCCGCCCACCGAUUUUUUUCUUUUAUCCAAAAGAAAUCAACGUUAAGACAAAAAUUAAAAGAAAUCGUUGGAGGAGGAAUGUCAGUUUGAAUUUUAUAGUUCGCACUUAAUUUCGACAGCUCAACUGUGUGGUAACCGGGUAAAUGUGUGUGACCUGAAAUUACUAUCAUACCAACACAGACAAAAAAAGUAUUCGGAUGAUGUAUUGCAUCUUUAACAGGAACACAUCAUCCGAUGCACCUAUCCACACAGUGUAUAGUCCCUGGCCAUAUUAUUAGACGUACUUUAGAUUUUAUGCAAAAUCUUAAUUUUCAGUUAUUUUUAACUGGUUUUUGAAUAUUGUAAUGCAAUUAAAUUAUUUUGUAAGUAGAAUAUAAACUACUUUCCAGAAAUAAAGCAACAUAUUUAAAGAUUUUUUUUUAAUUAAAUUAUUUGCAGUUUUUGUUGUUAUUUUUUUUUAAUUUUUUUCAAUAUUUUGUUAAACCUCUUUUUCUUUGAUAAGAGCCUCAAUUCUGCGCGGCAUACUGUCAAUGCAUGGUUUGACUGUUUCCUGCAUUUUUGUGUGGUGAUUCCUUACGUGAAUUACUCUUUCAAUAAGUGACCGCAUCUUUAACUACUUACCUCUUCAUCAGCUCCCACACGUUUUCAAUUGGGUUCAUAUCAGAGGUGUUUCCCAGCCAGUCUAACAGAGUGAUUUUUUUCCCUCAAAUAAGUUUUUAUCGACCGCUCUGUGUGGCAUGGAGCCCAAUCUUGCAUAAAAAUGUAAUUAUACAUUAAUUCUUGAACGUUACAAAUAUUGCGAAUAAUCUUAUAAUUAUAAAAAGUCUGCAGCGCGUCUAAUAAUAUUACCAGGGACUGUAAACCUCAACCAACAUUAUCACACUCAAAUAGUGGGAGACCACGUAGGUAUUAGUACAUUUCAAACAGAAUAGGGGAAUCAGUGUCUCAAGAACCAAGAGUGCGUUCCAAAACUGCGAGUUGACUAAAUGAAGAACAAAACAACCCGAGACGAGAACACUACAAAAAUCCAUACACAUAAUUACAAAACCUAUAAAUAAAAAUCACUAAUCACAGCAAUGACAUUUAUUAACAAUCAGUCAUGAAACUAAACACGGACAUAAAACAAAGUUUCAUUCACAUGCAACUUAACCCUUUAACCAACUUAAAGCCUAGUACAUACUUGUGAACCAUCUCGUGAACCCAUACAAAUUUCAGUUUUUGGUUCACCCGUGAACUUGCUCGUGAAGCUGAGUGGAGAACAAAGUGGAGAGUUUUCGUUCACGGGCAAUUCACGUGCAAAAUGUACGGGAACUGUUGGUGAAGCUGAAGUCAAAUGUUCACAACGUGUACUCACAAGUGUGUACCAGUGAGCAAUGUCAAAAGUUCACUUUCUCCACUGGCGAACGUUCACUUCACGAGGAAGUAUGUACUAGGCUUAAAGGACAGUACACAAAACCCAGGUCUCCUCCGGAACGCACUCAUUGCUUUCCCAUGAAAUUUCUCUCCACUAAGGUAUGGAGAAUUUCCAUGUAGACCAACAACGAGGCCAUUGACAGCUACGUAACUCAGUAUUACAAUUACAAAACAUAAACAACACAACAACAUUUGGGCGUGAACAACAAAAUUUGUUGUUUAUUGAGAUAUACUGUCAAUAAAUAGUUAAAACAAAACUUCUGGAUGCCUUGGAAAUAGAUAAGGAUGACGACAAUAUACGGGGAGUACAAGUGAUGCUGAGAGGGAUUACUUGAGUGUGUGUAAGAACCCACGACUUAAGCAGGGCAAAAUAUUAUCCUUCUACAAUUCAGUAAAAGUACCUAUUUCAUACGUUGCAACGCAACAUGCAAAUAUAUGACCAAACAAAGAAAUACCUAAUAUCCGCAAAAAUGCAUUUGCCGACGUACAAAUAUCAAAAAUUCUCCGCAAUCAUAAAAAGCGUCAAAAGUAUGAGAUCAUAAAGAUGUCAUCAGAAACACAUAAUUGUUUUUAAAAACCAACAAUCAAACUGUGGUAGUUAAGUCACGUAAAAGUCUACGAUGUUGCUCGUCGUUGGGGUCCGCCCACUAUGCGAUGCUCUUUUUUUGUGCAUUUACCUAUGCACAUCUAAUGGUCAAGCAUGAUGUUGGUGGACGAGGAUGAAGGUGAGGUACAGGGGGAAGCAUUUAAUUUGCAUAAUGACGAAGAUGAUCCUUAAUCCCAACGAGGGUCAAUAGACACAUGGAUGACCAACGGAAAGAACAGCUUUCCUGGGCGAAACCGAGGUUUCAUGAAGACGAUGACGAUGCUGUGUGGCGUAUAAUAAAUUUGAAAGUCAUGUAGGAAAGUUAAAUAACAAUAAAAUUUAAACUACAUUUUAAACCCUUCGAACGAAAAACCAAGUUUUUUAUUUUUUGCAACUAAUCGAAUA
This is a long non-coding RNA of Eupeodes corollae, 3218 nucleotides long. RefSeq lists it as uncharacterized. The transcript has 7 exons. The record is from RefSeq and is a predicted model, not a curated record. Lineage: Eukaryota; Metazoa; Arthropoda; Insecta; Diptera; Syrphidae.